GAUGAACGCUAGCGAUAGGCUUAACACAUGCAAGUCGAGGGGCAGCAUGGUCUUAGCUUGCUAAGACUGAUGGCGACCGGCGCACGGGUGCGUAACGCGUAUGCAACUUGCCUCACAGAGGGGGAUAACCCGUCGAAAGACGGACUAAUACCGCGUACACUUGGGAUAGGGCAUCCUGACCCAAGGAAAUGAAAUUCGCUGUGAGAUAGGCAUGCGUCCCAUUAGCUAGUUGGUGAGGUAACGGCUCACCAAGGCGACGAUGGGUAGGGGAACUGAGAGGUUGAACCCCCACACUGGUACUGAGACACGGACCAGAAUCCUACGGGAGGCAGCAGUGAGGAAUAUUGGUCAAUGGGCGAGAGCCUGAACCAGCCAAGUCGCGUGAAGGAUGACUGUCUUAUGGAUUGUAAACUUCUUUUAUACGGGAAUAACAAGAGUCACGUGUGGCUCCCUGCAUGUACCGUAUGAAUAAGCAUCGGCUAACUCCGUG
Molecule: ribosomal RNA, 490 nt
Filed under: uncultured bacterium
Lineage: Bacteria
Description: partial 16S ribosomal RNA
Rfam family: Bacterial small subunit ribosomal RNA
Source: RNAcentral